This 1837-nucleotide long non-coding RNA is filed under the name Homo sapiens (human). RNAcentral describes it as "HSALNT0390031". Lineage: Eukaryota; Metazoa; Chordata; Mammalia; Primates; Hominidae. The record is from RNAcentral.
GACGUCAGGGCCCUCGGGCCCCGCCCCCCAGCAGGCCGAGGACCAAUCCGCAGAGGGUGCAGGGUCUGAGGGGAGGGGCAGAGCCCGGGCCCCACGGAGGGCGGAGGGGGUACCCGGGAGAAGCAGAGAUUGGAAGGAGGAGCAGGGGGCCUGCCCUCCACCCCCACACUCUGGGCCCGAGACUCCUCGCUCCUCCUCGCCUCGCCUCGCCUCGAGUCUCUGGCUCCGACCUCUCUACUCCCUUGUUUCUGACCUGUGCUCCGUGGUGUCUCUGAUCUCCCCCUGCCGCCAGGGGAAAGGAGGUCUUCACCUCCGGGACCCCCACCCCCCACCCCCGUCCCCUCCCUGCCCCCUAUCCGUUCAGCCUCGGCUUUCUCGGCGAGAAAGCGCAGAUGGCUCCCGGCUGCUAACCCAGGAGGCUAAGGAGCAGCCCUAGAGACUGCGCAUCUGCAUGUCUGUGCCUGGGCUGGACCCGCCUGCACCAGCCAGGCCGAGCCAACCUCUCCUGGGGUGGAGGAUGGGAAUCCAGACGAAGCCUAAGGGCUCAGCGCCUGGAACCACUUGGGACAGAGAGUGGGGAGCAGACUGGCAACGAAGGGCCUUGGGCUCUGCGGAGGUUCCCAGCAGCAGAGCAGGCGCCUACAAUGGUGCCAAGGCAACCGGAGGGGGUGGCGGCCCACCCCCUCGCACCACCCCAGAGCCAGCUGGCCUAAGGAACAUCCCUCCCAGGACUCACUCACACCUAUUCUCCAACUCUGCCUACCUGCUCAAUUCACCUGAUGCUCUGCCAGUGGAUUGCUGAUGUCUCUACAUUGAUUCAGAUUUGCACCCACAUCUGAAAAUGGUCAGCAGGCAGGGACCCUCUGUCACCACAGGUGGAGGAAGAGGAGAUGAAAGAGCCUUGUCUGACACCCUGGAGACUGGGAAACUACCCAGACUGUGUCCUCUCCCUCUUACUCUCCUAAAGGAAGACAAGGAAGACAAUGACAAAUGGCGUUUGCAGCAAAGCAACACCAACAGCCAACUUGAUGCUCAAGAGAGAACGCUAUGCCUCUUCCUCAUGGUUUCCAGUGCUCUACACAUUCUGAGAAACUUUUCUGGUUCUACUUCUGGAGGGAACCCAAACCAACACAUUUGAUAUCCAAAGUUGUCCUAGGAAGUAGACCCCCAGGAUAAGAUUCUGGUUUUGGAUCACUCAUCAUCCAGAUGGCCCAAAGAUUCCAUUGCUGAGUAGAGACGGGUUUUCACCAUGUUGACCAGUCUGGUCUCAAACUCAUGACCUCAAGUGAUCCAUCUGCCUUGGCCUCCCAAAGUGCUGAGAUUACAGGAGUGAGCCAUCACGCCUGGCCUGGGAUUUAACAUUUUAAAGCUUGGCAAGGACACCAGAAGCCUGUUGCAAUAUGCCCCCGGGAUAGAUCUUCAAAGUGUGGAAAAACUAUGAGUUCCAGCAAAUGAGGUAGAGAUGUUGGAACUUCCUUGACAGAAUACUUGGAAGAAUAAAGGCUCAGAAAAGUGGGCAUGCCAGAAUAAAAUGACUAUUAUAUAAGACUAUAGAACCCUCCAGCCUACUGUGUUCUUCAUGAGGGCCCAGAAAUACUCAAUAAAUAAAGUGAUACAAAAGGUGCUAGUUGGAACAGGGCCACUGGCAUUUGCAGGUCAGUGGUAGCUGUCCUCAGCAGGCCAGAGCAAUGGUAGCGGGAGCUGCUAUGGGACUAGCCUUUCUAGAGUCAGUGGGUAUAACAGGAGUCCAGAACGAGGUCAGGCGACAGCACGUGGUCAUGAGAGGCUAAGUGGACAUAAUUACCGUAAUAGGCAGAAAGACCAGAAAUGUAAGCAG